AGAGAGCAGGCUGGGCAGA
This 19-nucleotide unclassified non-coding RNA is filed under the name Mus musculus (house mouse). RNAcentral's name for it is "oocyte_clustered_small_RNA13848". The record is from RNAcentral. Lineage: Eukaryota; Metazoa; Chordata; Mammalia; Rodentia; Muridae.